CCUUCUCGGUCUUCGAAGGACCCGGCCCACGUAGACCGCGAAGGCCGGGUCCUCCGAAGGAUGCAGCCGACGUUUUGGGACACAGCUAGUGUGUACAGUACUGUACAGAUGUACAGUAACAACACUGACACCAAAAGGAAAAAAACAGCUGGCAGCAAAAGCAGGGAGGUGUCCUUUCCAGCUUAACAGAAGAGGAAUAUAAAGAUAGUGAAGGGUGGAGCCUGCUGGAGUCCGAUGGUUGAGACCAGGUCUGAGGAAGUAUUCCUGUCA
Molecule: RNA transcript, 270 nt
Organism: Oreochromis niloticus (Nile tilapia)
Lineage: Eukaryota; Metazoa; Chordata; Actinopteri; Cichliformes; Cichlidae
Exons: 3
Source: RefSeq, a predicted model, not a curated record